UCGCAAUGGGCGAAAGCCUGACGGAGCAAUGCCGCGUGAAGGAUGAAGGCCUAUGGGUUGUAAACUUCUUUUCUCAGAGAAGAAAUUUUGACGGUAUCUGAGGAAUAAGCAUCGGCUAACUCUGUGCCAGCAGCCGCGGUAAGACAGAGGAUGCAAGCGUUAUCCGGAAUGAUUGGGCGUAAAGCGUCUGUAGGUGGCUUAAAAAGUCUCCUGUCAAAGAUCAGGGCUUAACCCUGGGCCGGCAGGAGAAACUCUUAGGCUAGAGUUGGUAGGGGCAGAGGGAAUUCCCGGUGGAGCGGUGAAAUGCGUAGAGAUCGGGAGGAACACCAAAGGCGAAAGCACUCUGCUGGGCCAUUACUGACACUGAGAGACGAAAGCGAGGGGAGCAAAAGGGAUUAGAUACCCCC
This 407-nucleotide ribosomal RNA is filed under the name Chlorella sp. NUA-2014-3. Its description in RNAcentral is "bacterial SSU rRNA". It matches the Rfam family "Bacterial small subunit ribosomal RNA", at positions 366 to 789 of the family's 1533-position model. The record is from RNAcentral. Lineage: Eukaryota; Viridiplantae; Chlorophyta; Trebouxiophyceae; Chlorellales; Chlorellaceae.